AGACAUAAUAAUAACAGCCUUCCUCAGAGGGUUGCUGGAGGAGUAGAUGAGGUGCUGCAUGCAGAGUCCCGAGAACUAUGCUGUCGCCCAGGAAGGUGUGGACAAUCAGGCAAGUGACUGCAUGUGACAACAGAGAGAGGGCAUGGCACACGGUGGCAGAUGAGCCCGGGACUGGAGGCAGAUCUGGGUUCCAGUUCCGGCUCUACCAGCAGCACCCAUGUGUCCUUCUGUUCUCUGGGCUCAAUUUCCUGUUGUAAAAUUCAAAACUUGGAAGAGUUGUUUUUCAGAAACCCGGGCCCCCAUCAAUGGAAAAUGCCAUCCACUAGCACGGAGACUUCAGCUGGGAGCCGAGGACUGAACUCAGACCACCAUUCUUUGUUCAACAUUUCUUCCUGAGGGGCCUGGAGGAAGUCACGCCCACAGGCCAGAGCUCAACAUUCCUUUCUGCUGACCCCAGUUCCAGCUCUGUUCCUCCUGCUCCCGACCUGACUACUCCAGUAACUGGUCCUGCCCUCGGAAGCAUGUUGUAUCUGCUGUGGAGUGAUCUUCGUUCCUGAAUGCUGAUGGCUGUACCCGAAAGCAGAGGUGUCACCCAGGACUGUGAAGCUGGAGGGAAGGGGUCUACCCCUGGGUCCUUACCUGACACUCCCUGCCCAUGAGGAACCAUCAAAGUCGCAUCCCCAGUAUGGCUUCUGCAUCCCCCAAAGGGACGAAUACCAGGCAAAAGGAAGAGGAAGGGAUUGAGACACGGCUUCAGGAGUUCAACUGAAUCCACCCUCUUCCAACCAGCCUUACGGGUGUCAAGCAAAGGACACAAAAUGAUCUCGGAAACAGCACCACAGCCCUUCUGAAAUUUGGGGACAACUAGCUUUUUUGACGCUGUGUAGCCUGUGAUGGGGGUAGAGCUCAGUAAUAGAGUGUUUGACUGCGUGUAGCCCGUGAGUUCUGGCCUUAUUAUUAAAGUU
This is a long non-coding RNA of Rhinopithecus roxellana (golden snub-nosed monkey), 965 nucleotides long. RefSeq lists it as uncharacterized. Lineage: Eukaryota; Metazoa; Chordata; Mammalia; Primates; Cercopithecidae. The record is from RefSeq and is a predicted model, not a curated record. The transcript is spliced from 5 exons.